UUAUAAGAGACAGCAGUAGCCGCGGGAAUACAGAGGGUGCGAGCGUUAAUCGGAAUUACUGGGCGUAAAGCGUGCGCAGGCGGUUCGUUAAGACAGAUGUGAAAUCCCCGGGCUUAACCUGGGAACUGCAUUUGUGACUGACGGGCUAGAGUAUGGCAGAGGGGGGUAGAAUUCCACGUGUAGCAGUGAAAUGCGUAGAGAUGUGGAGGAAUACCGAUGGCGAAGGCAGCCCCCUGGGCCAAUACUGACGCUCAUGCACGAAAGCGUGGGGAGCAAACAGGAUUAGAUACCCGUGUAGUCCCUGUCUCUUAUAC
Molecule: ribosomal RNA, 314 nt
Filed under: uncultured bacterium
Lineage: Bacteria
Description: partial 16S ribosomal RNA
Rfam family: Bacterial small subunit ribosomal RNA
Source: RNAcentral